AGGUUUUUAUUCUUAGACUGCAAACCUAAGUUAGCGGGUCUCCGCAAAAAUCUG
RNAcentral lists this transfer RNA (54 nucleotides) under Oniscus asellus. RNAcentral's name for it is "tRNA-Cys". Lineage: Eukaryota; Metazoa; Arthropoda; Malacostraca; Isopoda; Oniscidae. The record is from RNAcentral.